This is a long non-coding RNA of Prinia subflava (tawny-flanked prinia), 405 nucleotides long. RefSeq lists it as uncharacterized. Lineage: Eukaryota; Metazoa; Chordata; Aves; Passeriformes; Cisticolidae. The transcript is spliced from 3 exons. The record is from RefSeq and is a predicted model, not a curated record.
GCAGUGGGAGCUGCUCUGCACGUGUCUGAACAAGGCUCCCCCGGGGAAGAGAGCGAACGUACGCGCAGGAGCUGGGCCAAAAGCAGACGCAGGGCGCUGGCAGGCCCGGCUGAGCUGACUCACCGGCCGGGCUCCCUUCCCUGAGCCAGCGGCAGCGCGGCACCUCCACACGGCGGUGACCCAGCAGGGACCCCGUGGGGGGACAGGGUCCUGUCCUGCCCGGCCCUGGCGCUGCUCUGGUGCUGAGCCCCCCGCGUCACCACAGAGCAGGCAGGGGCCGGAGAAGGGACUCUGCUGCCCGCCAGCACCGCUCCAGGGAGCCAGGGCGGACGGUGCCUCUCCCCAUGGCAGCCAGGCCCCCACAUAACGCCAGCCAAACUGGACACUCCGGUCCCCCGAGAGACC